AGAGAGAGACAUGCGCGCAUAUCAAUAAGCGGAGGAAAAGAAACUAACAAGGAUUCCCCUAGUAACGGCGAGUGAAGCGGGAAGAGCUCAAAUUUGAAAUCUUAAAGGGUUUCCCUUUACGAAUUGUAGUUUAAAGAAGUGUUUUCUGUUGAGGUUUUGGUAAAAGUUCUUUGGAAUAGGACAUCAUAGAGGGUGAGAAUCCCGUAUUUGACCUUUACUUUCAACUUUGUGAUACACUUUCAAAGAGUCGGAUUGUUUGGGAAUGCAGUCCAAAAUGGGUGGUAAAUUUCAUCUAAAGCUAAAUAUUGGCGAGAGACCGAUAGCGAACAAGUACCGUGAGGGAAGGAUGAAAAGAACUUUGAAAAGAGAGUUAAACAGUACGUGAAAUUGUCAAAAGGGAAGCGUUUGACACCAGUGUUGUUUUUCUGAAAAUCAAUUAAAGAACUGUUUAUGCUAAGUUGUUUAGACUUUAUCAGCUAUCUGUUUAGUUUUGAGCUUUUCUUUAAUGCACUUUUCAGUUAACAAGUCAACAUCAAUUUCUUUUGCUGUAAUAAAGCUUGAGGAAGGUGGCUUGAGAUUCGUCUUAAGUGUUUAUAGCCUCUUGCCUAUGCAGUCGGAGAGAUUGAGGUCUGCAGCGUAGAUCCUUCGGGGCUAAAUGCAUUUGUGCUAAGUUAUAGCAUUUUAUAGACAACUUGUUGACUAUGAUUUGUCUUGUAGCUUACUCGCUUAUGUUAUUUUACCUACGCUUAGGAUGUUGAGCGCAUGUCUCUCUCU
This 774-nucleotide ribosomal RNA is filed under the name uncultured Neocallimastigales. RNAcentral's name for it is "partial large subunit ribosomal RNA". It matches the Rfam family "Eukaryotic large subunit ribosomal RNA", at positions 23 to 616 of the family's 3401-position model. Lineage: Eukaryota; Fungi; Neocallimastigomycota; Neocallimastigomycetes; Neocallimastigales. The record is from RNAcentral.